CGGAGGGUGCAAGCGUUAUCCGGAUUCGCUGGGUUUAAAGGGUGCGUAGGUGGGUAAGUAAGUCAGUGGUGAAAUCUCCGGGCUUAACCCGGAAACUGCCAUUGAUACUAUUUGUCUUGAAUACUGUGGAGGUCAGCGGAAUAUGUCAUGUAGCGGUGAAAUGCUUAGAUAUGACAUAGAACACCAAUUGCGAAGGCAGCUGGCUACACAAAUAUUGACACUGAGGCACGAAAGCGUGGGGAUCAAACAGGAUUAGAUACCCUGGUAGUCCACGCCCUAAACUAUGGAUACUCGACAUUUGCGAUAAACUGCAAGUGUCUGAGCGAAAGCAUUAAGUAUCCCACCUGGGAAGUACGAUCGCAAGAUUG
This 368-nucleotide ribosomal RNA is filed under the name uncultured organism. Its description in RNAcentral is "bacterial SSU rRNA". It matches the Rfam family "Bacterial small subunit ribosomal RNA", at positions 526 to 896 of the family's 1533-position model. The record is from RNAcentral.